Molecule: ribosomal RNA, 492 nt
Filed under: uncultured bacterium
Lineage: Bacteria
Description: partial 16S ribosomal RNA
Rfam family: Bacterial small subunit ribosomal RNA
Source: RNAcentral
AGUGAACGCUGGCGGUAGGCCUAACACAUGCAAGUCGAACGGCAGCACAGUAAGAGCUUGCUCUUACGGGUGGCGAGUGGCGGACGGGUGAGGAAUACAUCGGAAUCUACUUUUUCGUGGGGGAUAACGUAGGGAAACUUCUCCUAUCACCUAAUAUACCUAACGGUUAAAUCCAGGGGUCUUCGGCACUUUUGCUGUUGCAUGUAGCUGUGUCCGAAUUAGCUAGUUGGGGGGGUAAGGGCCCACCAAGCCAACGAUCCGUAGCGGGUCUGAGAGGAUGAUCAGCCACACUGGAACUGAGACACGGUCCAGACUCCUACGGGAGGCAGCAGUGGGGAAUAUUGGACAAUGGGCGAAAGCCUGAUCCAGCCAUACCGCGUGGGUGAAGAAGGCCUUCGGGUUGUAAAGCCCUGUUGUUGGGAAAGAAAAGCAGCAGGUUAAUACCCCGCUGUUCUGACGGUACCCAAAGAAUAAGCACCGGCUAACUUCGUG